CUCCUAAAUGUCCUGGGCUGCACGCGCACUACACUGAUGCAGACAACGAGCUUGAAAUGCUUUGCCUUCCUGCCUCGAAGGGGUUGGGAAAUCUUUGAAGCCUGCAUCGUGAUGGGGAUAGAUGAUUGCAAUUAUUCGCCUUGAACGAGGAAUGUCUAGUAGGCCCGUUUCAUCAGAACGGACCGGAUACGUCCCUGCUUUUUGUACACACCGCCCGUCGUUGCUACCGAUUGGUUUUCUAAUAGAACCUUUUGGAGGUGUGGCGCGAAUCGUGCCCAGCAUGGCGCGCUGCGCUCAAAUCUGGUGAUAUUAGCAAACUAGAGGAAGCAAAAGUCGUAACA
RNAcentral lists this ribosomal RNA (341 nucleotides) under uncultured eukaryote. Its description in RNAcentral is "partial 18S ribosomal RNA". It matches the Rfam family "Eukaryotic small subunit ribosomal RNA", at positions 1470 to 1796 of the family's 1831-position model. The record is from RNAcentral.